This 443-nucleotide ribosomal RNA is filed under the name uncultured bacterium. RNAcentral's name for it is "partial 16S ribosomal RNA". It matches the Rfam family "Bacterial small subunit ribosomal RNA", at positions 338 to 795 of the family's 1533-position model. The record is from RNAcentral.
CCUACGGUAGGCAGCAGUGGGGAAUAUUGGACAAUGGGGGGAACCCUGAUCCAGCGACGCCGCGUGAGUGAAGAAGUAUUUCGGUAUGUAAAGCUCUAUCAGCAGGGAAGAAAGAAAUGACGGUACCUGACUAAGAAGCCCCGGCUAACUACGUGCCAGCAGCCGCGGUAAUACGUAGGGGGCAAGCGUUAUCCGGAUUUACUGGGUGUAAAGGGAGCGUAGACGGCGAUGCAAGUCUGAAGUGAAAGGCGGGGGCCCAACCCCUGGACUGCUUUGGAAACUGUAUGGCUGGAGUGCAGGAGAGGUAAGUGGAAUUCCUAGUGUAGCGGUGAAAUGCGUAGAUAUUAGGAGGAACACCAGUGGCGAAGGCGGCUUACUGGACUGUAACUGACGUUGAGGCUCGAAAGCGUGGGGAGCAAACAGGAUUAGAUACCCUUGUAGUC